Molecule: long non-coding RNA, 227 nt
Organism: Triticum dicoccoides
Lineage: Eukaryota; Viridiplantae; Streptophyta; Magnoliopsida; Poales; Poaceae
Exons: 2
Source: RefSeq, a predicted model, not a curated record
CGCCGAUAAGCCGGACGCGGCGCGCCUCCGGCUCUCCGGCAGGGCUACGAAUUGCUCGGCGGUGCGGAGUCCCAGCUUUGAACCCCUUCUAAUUCGACAGGAGAUUUCGUUCAGGUCAGAGUUGCGAAGCCCAGAUCGAGCAUGCACACACAUAUUCCGCAACAGGCUUGAAGCUAUGUACCUGUAUCUGCCACCAUGGAUCAUAACUGUGAGUUCCUUUAUGAAUA